RNAcentral lists this ribosomal RNA (429 nucleotides) under Gemmatimonadota bacterium. RNAcentral's name for it is "Gemmatimonadetes bacterium partial 16S ribosomal RNA". It matches the Rfam family "Bacterial small subunit ribosomal RNA", at positions 355 to 776 of the family's 1533-position model. Lineage: Bacteria; Pseudomonadati; Gemmatimonadota. The record is from RNAcentral.
UAGGGAAUCUUCGGCAAUGGACGAAAGUCUGACCGAGCAACGCCGCGUGAGUGAAGAAGGUUUUCGGAUCGUAAAACUCUGUUGUUAGAGAAGAACAAGGACGUUAGUAACUGAACGUCCCCUGACGGUAUCUAACCAGAAAGCCACGGCUAACUACGUGCCAGCAGCCGCGGUAAUACGUAGGUGGCAAGCGUUGUCCGGAUUUAUUGGGCGUAAAGCGAGCGCAGGCGGUUUCUUAAGUCUGAUGUGAAAGCCCCCGGCUCAACCGGGGAGGGUCAUUGGAAACUGGGAGCCUUGAGUGCAGAAGAGGAGAGUGGAAUUCCAUGUGUGGCGGUGAAAUGCGUAGAUAUAUGGAGGAACACCAGUGGCGAAGGCGGCUCUCUGGUCUGUAACUGACGCUGAGGCUCGAAAGCGUGGGGAGCAAACAGG